AUUGAACGCUGGCGGCAGGCUUAACACAUGCAAGUCGAGCGGAGAUGAGGUGCUUGCACCUUAUCUUAGCGGCGGACGGGUGAGUAAUGCUUAGGAAUCUGCCUAUUAGUGGGGGACAACAUUCCGAAAGGAAUGCUAAUACCGCAUACGUCCUACGGGAGAAAGCAGGGGAUCUUCGGACCUUGCGCUAAUAGAUGAGCCUAAGUCGGAUUAGCUAGUUGGUGGGGUAAAGGCCUACCAAGGCGACGAUCUGUAGCGGGUCUGAGAGGAUGAUCCGCCACACUGGGACGGAGAUACGGCCCAGACUCCUACGGGAGGCAGCAGUGGGGAAUAUUGGACAAUGGGGGGAACCCUGAUCCAGCCAUGCCGCGUGUGUGAAGAAGGCCUUAUGGUUGUAAAGCACUUUAAGCGAGGAGGAGGCUACUGAGACUAAUACUCUUGGAUAGUGGACGUUACUCGCAGAAUAAGCACCGGCUAACUCUGUGCCAGCCGCCGCGGAAA
RNAcentral lists this ribosomal RNA (501 nucleotides) under uncultured bacterium. RNAcentral's name for it is "partial 16S ribosomal RNA". It matches the Rfam family "Bacterial small subunit ribosomal RNA", at positions 30 to 523 of the family's 1533-position model. The record is from RNAcentral.